This 179-nucleotide non-coding RNA is filed under the name Ruegeria marisrubri. RNAcentral's name for it is "Ruegeria sp. ZGT118 Ruegeria cis52 sRNA". It matches the Rfam family "Ruegeria cis52 sRNA". From Rfam's summary of the family: Cis-encoded. Lineage: Bacteria; Pseudomonadati; Pseudomonadota; Alphaproteobacteria; Rhodobacterales; Roseobacteraceae. The record is from Rfam by way of RNAcentral.
UGCGCAGGGCGUGCUUCAUCACGAUCGUCGGGAACGACACCCCCUUGAGGCGUGCAGUCCUGAUAUACUGCGCGGUCAUCACCUCGGUCAUCGAGGCCCGGGUCAUCCGGGCGAUAUAGCCCAUGCCGUAAAGCGCGAUGGUCAGCACCGGCAGGAAGAAGUUCUCGAAGGUGGGAUUG